Pyrus x bretschneideri (Chinese white pear) is the source of this 1243-nucleotide long non-coding RNA. RefSeq lists it as uncharacterized. The record is from RefSeq and is a predicted model, not a curated record. Lineage: Eukaryota; Viridiplantae; Streptophyta; Magnoliopsida; Rosales; Rosaceae. The transcript is spliced from 6 exons.
UCGAGGUGGACAUCGUUGAACGCUUGAACUCAUCACUACCAAAAUCAACUUCAACUCCAUAAUACAAUUAUUUCUAGUUUAGUCCAACUAAGUUAACAAUGAUUGCCACCAACUUAGCUUAUUAAUCAUGCAUUUUCGCUUUGCUUAUUAAGCAUUAGGAUGGCUCGGAAUCAUGCAUUUGAAUUCAUUAGGAAUACCCAAAAUAUAUCAUCAUGUUUUGCCUUGUUGCAAUGUUUAAUCUCACGAAAGCCACUCGCAGGUUAUGCAACGCCUCAUUGAUCGUGGAGCACUUCAGCCUACCGGAGAUUUGUCGUCUGUAUGCACCAUCCCAGUACUCAUUAUAUAUUAGAAAGGGAAAGGUCACUUGAUAGGGUGAUUUUCAGAAACAUUUGGUGCUCUCUUUCUCUCUCUUUCUUCCCCAUUCUCUAGGUACGGAGAUCCGUUCAAUCCUUUUUGGACAAUAUGUUAAGCCAGACACCAGAUCAGUCGCAGACGUUUUCUGCAAUUGGGGAGGUAUAGGCUAUAUUCUCGAUAAAGAUUUUUCCUUCGUGAAGAUUGCUGCAGAUUAUGCUCAGGAGGUUUUAUAUUUAAGACAGAAGCAGCGUACGGGGACACAGCUUGUAAACGAUAUAAGGAAACAAGCCGAUGAUGCUAGAAGCUAUACCAUGUCGAUGCCAUACAGAGUUCAGAGAAUAGAGGAGUUUGUGAAAGAGCUCGAAUCAGGGGAUCUGAAACUGCGAGUCCGGGUACUUGAGUCGGAAAGAGCUGCACGAAAAGCGACAAUACUACAGAUGGCGACGAUGUAUACAGUCUUGGGAGCUACCCUGGUGAACCUCGGGGUCACUUUGAGUAGUCAAGGCAGCCAAGCUUUCGCAAAUGGAUCAUUCAUCGGUGCAGGAAUCUUCUUCACGCUGUUAGCUAGGUCUAUGCAGAGGGUGAAAAAAACUUGAUAAAUUCGAGAAGAUGAUCUAAUGUCUAAACCGAAAAUCUAGAAACCCGUCUUGCCAUUGCAGUAUAGCGUCCAUCUCGUUUCUCGUUCAUCCCUCUAAUUCUUCACCAGCUUCAUAUCGGCCGGUUUUUUUAUUUUUAUUUUUUUAUGCAUACACAAGAGUUGUAUGCCUUGUAUACCAUACACACAAACAUGAAAAUAAUAGUGCCUCAGAAAUUUGAGCCCUGUAUAUGUAUAAGCAAUUGGUGACUGUACAAAGCGGCGAUAAAUUUAUUAUAAAUUUUCAAUUUUUAA